RNAcentral lists this long non-coding RNA (578 nucleotides) under Oryza sativa tropical japonica subgroup. RNAcentral describes it as "lncRNA OsKeNa_10g0014940". The record is from RNAcentral. Lineage: Eukaryota; Viridiplantae; Streptophyta; Magnoliopsida; Poales; Poaceae.
CAGCACCGGCCGGCACGUGGCACGCGGUUUUUCUGGGCUUUUGGCCUCUUCCCCCUAGGCUCGCACCCCCACCACCACCCGAUUCCCGGAACCCGCCCCAUUUCCGCCUCCUCCUUCGCCUUCGCGGCUUCGCCUCUCUCCCACACAUGCAUCGCCAUCGCCGUCAUCGUCAGGACUAAGCUCUGCUCUGCAUCUGCACCACCACCCAGCUGCAGCCCGAACAAGAAGACGAGCAUCUCAUCUCAUCUCAUCUGCCGAUCGAUCGAUUCGCUGCAGGGAGAGCUGAACAAUGGAGUUCGUGUUGAUCAUCUCGCUGCCGCUCCUCAUCCUGAUCAUAAUCGUCGCGGUGGUUCUCUGCAUCAUCUGCCGCUAGCUGAAUGGUGACACCUCAUUGUUCUUCCUGCCCAUAUCUUGAUGUGAACAUAUCAUGUAUCAAUUGAUUAGUAUCUCAUGACUCACAACAGAGCAGUCUCGUACUCUCUUUGGGGGGCCAGUGUGGUUGUGAUUAGUUUGGCCCUAGCUUUGAUGAGCAAAAAGACAUUGAUUCUGAAUGUCAUACAUACAUAUGUGCUGUGAGA